RNAcentral lists this ribosomal RNA (382 nucleotides) under uncultured eukaryote. RNAcentral describes it as "partial 18S ribosomal RNA". It matches the Rfam family "Eukaryotic small subunit ribosomal RNA", at positions 592 to 976 of the family's 1831-position model. The record is from RNAcentral.
UGUAAGCGUAUACCAAAGUUGUUGCAGUUAAAACGCUCGUAGUCGGAAUUUGGCAGUUCCGGAUGUGUGCACGUCGUGUGCGCACUUCGCGGGGAUUGCUUUUGUGGUCUUGCGUAGGAUGAGGCACUUUUAUUAGUGAACGUCCUCACGCAACCACUUUUUACUGUGAGAAAAUCAGAGUGCUCAAAGCAGGCAUUUGCCGUGAAUGUAUUAGCAUGGAAUAAUAGAAUAGGACUUGGUUCUAUUUUGUUGGUUUGUUGGGACUGAGUAAUGAUUAAGAGGGACAGUUGGGGGCAUUUGUAUUUCGGUGCAAGAGGUGAAAUUCUUAGAUUACCGAAAGACAAACUGCUGCGAAAGCGUCUGCCAAGGAUGUUUUCAUUGA